UUUAUGUUAUACCCACAACAAUCCUCACAAUGCCAGCCCGCAGUUUCCUCGAGAAAUCAAUCGGAGGUUUCUUCACUUGCGCCUGGCUGAAACGACGAUCCACUCGAUCCUGCUCACCUUGUUUCGAGUUGAAUUGGAACCAAGAGAUGGACAAAUCAGAGUUAUCAAUGAUGUUGUUCCAAAGAAUACAGAAACUAGACCCAAAACAUGUCUCCAAGAUCAUGGGUUAUCUUCUCUUGAAAGAUCAGAGUGAGGUCGACAUGAUCCAUCAUGCCCCUGCCCCGGAUAAUGUAAUCCAGUCCUUGAUCGAAAAUAUCAAGCAAGAGCUUUGCGUGCCUCCAAAACCACCUGUCCCUGCCUAUGUUUUGACUGCUUUGAAUUGUCCUACAAAGUUUUCGCCAUCUUUGCCAUGGUUUCCGGCAUCCUCUGCAGGAUUUUCACAUGAAAUUGCACAGCAGGUCCCUCAAGCUCCGACAGGCCAGCAGCAACAGGUCACGCCACUUGUAAACCAACUUGGAUGCCAUAAAGCUACUGGAUUGAAUUUGAAUGUGCAGAGCUAUGUUCCGCAAGCUGUAAAGCAUCAUCAAGCGUCUUCAUUGGACAUGUACCCUCACUCCUCUGACCAGUUAUCUGCUCCAAUCUGUGAAAACUAUAGUAAGGGUUAUUGUGAGCAUUGUGGCGACUGCAAAUUCCUGCACUUACUCAAAUUACAGAAUGGUAAAUUUAUGAUCAUUAACCAGCCAAAGGGUGUAGCAGAUAAUUCCACUAGUUCGUCCGACAGAUACACCUUGCAGCUUGAGGAACAGUUUGUUGAGAUUCUGAAAAUUAGAAGAGGGAUCCCGGUCCCGCUCUCUUGCUUACCAAUUUUGUAUCAUGACAAAUACUGCAAGAGUCUCCCUGUCCAGGCUUGUAUGAAAGAGCCGCAUAAACUCAGGAAAAUCUGCUGCACACUGACAGAACUUAUUCGUCAAAUGAAGAGCAUUAAAGUGACAGACAAGUGGCACGGGAUGGAAUCUACAAUCUUGGAAGAUGACUUGUCGACAUACCUAAAGUCAAUGAAGAAAGAGAGAGGCAGGGGUCAAGCUUUGCAGGCUACUGCCAAGUUUAUGUGACACUCUCUAUUCGGGCGAAAGAUGUCGAAGAAUAUUUUUCAAGUGAGCGAGAUCAUUAUACUACAUAUCUAUAUUUUGUUUGGGUAUCUAAUGCAGUGCAGGCAUUUGUUGUCCUGUCCUCCUCGGGAAAUUUGGAAAAGUAAAAGAAGUUGGUGUUGGGUUUGGGUUCCUUCUAUGGAGGCCCAACAAUUCAAGUUAGUCCAAAAAGAGUUAAGAGCCCACUUUUGUCAAUUGUUGCCCUAGCCCUCAUAGUUGUGAGAGGGGUCAUUUUGGGCGUAGAGAUUUUGAGAGAGGAACAAUCGGUAUCUACGCACCCGAAAGAAUCGACAAGCAAGAGAGAAUUUCUUCAAGUCGGUUUCGAUCAACGGUCUCAUCAUCCUUGGAUAUUUUUCUUGAAAAAUCGAUGAUAGAAAUCAGAUUCCGCAAAAGCAGUUAUCAUGUAAGUCUCUGGCUUUUUUCUCAAUUUCACGUUUUGGAUUCUUAAUCAUUUGCUUGUUUUAUUUUCGAUUAUAUAUGUGUGUGUCCUUGGUGACUUAGCUGCUUGAACCCUACUUUUGCAUAUAUCUUCACAUCAGUUGAUCAAAUCUUAUCUCUCUAUUUCCGAAAGAAAAGCAAAACAGAGAAAUUAAAUUAGUUAUGGUGAUUCUUGGACAGUGCAGUUGUGAUGUACGAUGGCUCUUCUCUUGUAUAAGGUUAGUCCUCUUGUAUAAGUUCAUUUCAAUUUGACAUUUUCCUAUUGCCGUCGUAGCUUACAUCUCUAUCUCUAUUUCUAUUUCUAUUACUCUCACUAUCACUAUUCUUAUCAUCCAGAAUCAAUAAG
Molecule: RNA transcript, 1932 nt
Organism: Andrographis paniculata
Lineage: Eukaryota; Viridiplantae; Streptophyta; Magnoliopsida; Lamiales; Acanthaceae
Gene name: zinc finger CCCH domain-containing protein 18-like
Exons: 4
Source: RefSeq, a predicted model, not a curated record